This 232-nucleotide ribosomal RNA is filed under the name uncultured bacterium. RNAcentral describes it as "partial 16S ribosomal RNA". It matches the Rfam family "Bacterial small subunit ribosomal RNA", at positions 99 to 334 of the family's 1533-position model. The record is from RNAcentral.
CGGACGGGUGAGUAAUGGCUGGGAAACUGCCCGAUGGAGGGGGAUAACUACUGGAAACGGUAGCUAAUACCGCAUAACGUCGCAAGACCAAAGAGGGGGACCUUCGGGCCUCUUGCCAUCGGAUGUGCCCAGAUGGGAUUAGCUAGUAGGUGGGGUAACGGCUCACCUAGGCGACGAUCCCUAGCUGGUCUGAGAGGAUGACCAGCCACACUGGAACUGAGACACGGUCCAG